Molecule: long non-coding RNA, 2604 nt
Filed under: Capsicum annuum
Lineage: Eukaryota; Viridiplantae; Streptophyta; Magnoliopsida; Solanales; Solanaceae
Description: long non-coding RNA (CANN_LNC000033)
Source: RNAcentral
UAAAUUUCGUGUAUAAAGCCCCCAUGUUCCCAACGUAAUAUCACACACUCAGGCAUUUUCUUUUACCUGGUUCAGUUUUAUAUAAAUUUUUUUUGUCAGAAAACUAUAUUGCUUAAUCCUUCAAUAAUGAAUUCGGACAGCUCUAUGGGGAGUGAAUAUAGCAACUUCUCAGAGGAUGGUUCGGAUGCCCAAUCUGACUUCAGUUUUGCUUUCAACAAUAGCGCCUACUCAGAUGGGUUGUUGAAGAUAGAGAUUGUGUACCGGACCGGGCAAAACCAGGCAAUGGAGGAGUAGAUUGGGACCAGAAAGGCAAGCGCAAGCGAGAAGAAAUAGACACAAGAGGAAAUGGUUUGCUUUUCUUGCUAAUUUUUAUUUUUCAUUUUUUGGUAAAGAUUUUGGGAGUUAAGAAGAGAAUAAAUCACAAAAUGGUUGCUUUUUACAUAAAAAAUUAGCAUUAGAUUUUAACAUGUUUUUGUCCACAGAUUUUUGGUUUCUGUGUUAUACAUAUAUCUGGAAUUGGAUAUCCCACUGUUUAUCAUAAAGGCGUUUUUUUUCACAGGAGAAUUUCUUUUUGGUUAAUGGACGAAAAAAGGUAGUUUACAAAUCCAAAUAGAGUGGAAACGAUGUAAAGAAUUCAUAUAGCUAAAUUCAACUAGUUUAGAGUUACAGUAGUAAUAUUUGGGAGUCAUACACUAUUAAUUACUUGACGGACUCUUCCUAUAUAUUUUGUUCCCUUUUGUAUGCUUAUCUCUUUCACUUGUCAGGUACCUAUUCACUUACCUACAAUAGACUUUUUUUCCCUUCUAUUCCAAACCUAUCAUUCAUUAGUGAUUCUGAGAUAUUAGAUUCUGAUAUCAAACUAUUAAACACUUAAUUGAUCUUGUUGGAUAAGUUUUAUUGCAGAUGCUAUAGUUUUUAGAUGUUGAAAGUGUACUUAAUUUUGUGGCUGAUGGAAAAGAAUUGAUUUUCAAAAGUUUGUGGCCGGUUGAGUAACUAGUAAAGUUGCUGCCAUGUGGCCAAGAGGUCACGGGUUCAAGCCUUGGAAACAGCUCUGGCAGAAAUGCAAGGUAAGGCUGCGUACGAUAUGUUAGAGUGGGUAAAAAGUUCUACAUUGGUUGGGGAAUGAACUGGUGGUUUGCUUAUAUGGAAUUGGGUAAUCCUCUCCUCUUGAGCUGAUAUCAGAGCCAGGUCCAUCCCCGUUUUGGGCUCCCUGUCCACGCGUCAGUGUCAGUUGGUCUUGGGCCCCUUUUUUAGUCGUAUAUAUAUUUGGGAAUUCUACACUAGUAAUUACUUGACUUUUCUUUUUAAUUCCCAUUCCCUUCUGUAUACUUACUUAUCUCACUUAUCAGAUGCAAACAUCGUCAUGCAACAUAAGGACCAGGACCUGGAAGUAAACUGUAGUGUUCUACAAAGGGAUGAUUGUCUUAGCUUGCCGAUGACAAGGGGAAAAAUGAAGCAGUAGGAAAGUUUGAGGAAUCGUCUUCUGGCAAUGUGAUAAUCAUAAAUUUCUGUGGUACCUAUAAUGGACCUUUUCGUUCCUUCUACUUCAAACCUAUCAGUCAUUAGAGAUUCUAACUCUUUUCAUAAAAUCCUAUUUAUCAAAGUAUCUGAUGAGAGAGAUUAGAUAAUUUCUGAUAUUGGGAAAUUUCUAAGUAUAAUCUCCACAUGCAUGAUUGGAAAGACAAAUCUUUAUUGAUGAUGACUGCAUUUUAAUUUGUUAUGGGGUCAUUGGUUAUUUAUCAAGUUUUUUUCAGACAAGCUUGAUGCAUUUUAUAGGUGAUAUAUAAUAUAAUGAAGCUUCUGAAAGUAAUGAUUCCUCAAAACUCAUUCACGUGAUAACUUUACAUAUCAUCAGUUCUGACAUUUUGGCAGCUAAGAGACAAUUAUUUAAAAAGGUGGGAUAGUUAAUUCUUACUAAAAUUAAAUUUUUUCUUAAUCAGGCCUUCCCUGUUACUUUCUUUUUUCUUUUACAACUAUUUGUCUUUUUGCUUAGUUGUUCUCAAAUAGAAUGAAAGAGUCGAAGGAACAACAUGUAACUAUACGAAUCCAUGUUUCGGGUAAGUACUAAUUUGUCUGAUACUUUCUUGUGUGAAAGAUUUAGUUCAUUUCACUACAUUUGCUUGAAUCAAGGAUAAAACCUGUUAUGAUUCGAACAGAAUAAGCAAACCACAAGUAACAGAAAACAAGAACAACAUACGGAUUUACAUGAAAAGCCAAGGGCAGAGGCAGAGGAGGUUUCGCUGUAAUGGAUAGAGAGUACAAUGUGGAAAAGACUGAAUUUUUUGAAUAAUGAAAAUAACCCACUAAAUCGUACUUAUAUAGUACGUGCGUACAAAUAGGUCCUAGGCCCAAAAACAUAAAGGUCCAUAUGCUAUCACCACAGACCCCAUUCUAAUAAAAUCACAAACAUGAAUCACACUACAAAACUUUCAAGGCCGAACCAACAAAAUUCAGGUCACAACUCUAACAAAACUAAUAUUGUCAAUGCAUGUCCGGUUCUAGGGUACUAUUGCAUGUCACACAGAUUCAACCCCAACCCCUCUCCCAGGGUAGCUCGAGGUUAAAGCCACUAAAGCAUGUGCACUAGGUCCCUAAAAGUCAAAG